Non-coding RNA from Pisolithus tinctorius, 71 nucleotides. The record is from the annotation of a GenBank genome assembly. NCBI's taxonomy places the organism in Eukaryota, Fungi, Basidiomycota, Agaricomycetes, Boletales, Pisolithaceae.
GACCAUAUAGUGCAGUGGUUAGAGCACCUGGUUAACACCAAGGGUUGCUGGAUCAAUCCCAGUUCUGGUUG